GGGAACAUGGCUUAGUGGUAGAGCGCUUGCCUAGCAUGCAUGAAGCCCUGGGUUUGAUUCCUCAGUACCA
This 70-nucleotide transfer RNA is filed under the name Dipodomys ordii (Ord's kangaroo rat). It matches the Rfam family "tRNA". Rfam says of the family: Transfer RNA (tRNA) molecules are approximately 80 nucleotides in length. Their secondary structure includes four short double-helical elements and three loops (D, anti-codon, and T loops). Further hydrogen bonds mediate the characteristic L-shaped molecular structure. tRNAs have two regions of fundamental functional importance: the anti-codon, which is responsible for specific mRNA codon recognition, and the 3' end, to which the tRNAs corresponding amino acid is attached (by aminoacyl-tRNA synthetases). tRNAs cope with the degeneracy of the genetic code in two manners: having more than one tRNA (with a specific anti-codon) for a particular amino acid; and 'wobble' base-pairing, i.e. permitting non-standard base-pairing at the 3rd anti-codon position. The record is from Rfam by way of RNAcentral. Lineage: Eukaryota; Metazoa; Chordata; Mammalia; Rodentia; Heteromyidae.